UGUUGCUGUUCAAGCCGACCUUUUCUCUUCAACGAAGGAUCGAACUUCCCGGUGAAGUCAAUCAGCUCAUCACCCCUGGACGUGUUCGGAUUCCGUUCUAAAUGCUGCUGGUGUAUCCCGCUGAAAGUCGCUUCUGUACUGAUAUGCUUGCUUACUUUCAUCUGGGCAACCCUGGAGCUUUUGACUGCAGAAAAGUUUCUAAAAAUAUUUAUAGAUGACAAAGAUAUCGUAUUUUUCCUGAAGAUAGUCUACUGGGUCAUAUCUAUAGGACUAAUGAUAGCUGCUGCCAUACUUUUACUGGGAAUUAUGUUGGAUAAAUACCUCUUCGUAAACAUUUACGUAUGGUACGUGCUUGUGUUUACAUGUCUGGUAGUGGUGGUGCACCUGGCAGGCUCUAUCUUUGCUAUAGUCAAGAUGGACGCCGUGACAAAAAGAUUUGCCAUCAAGCUUGCACUGGCCACUUUAUGGUAUGCAUUGGUCUUCUAUUUCCUAUUGAUAGUGAAUAGCUUCAAAUCAAAUUUAUGGUGAUGACUAACAUCACUUUUGGAUGGUAGAGGUGUAGUGUAUUUACACGUCUAUAUAACAGUAAGUUUACA
This is a long non-coding RNA of Ostrinia nubilalis (European corn borer), 596 nucleotides long. RefSeq lists it as uncharacterized. Lineage: Eukaryota; Metazoa; Arthropoda; Insecta; Lepidoptera; Crambidae. The transcript is spliced from 4 exons. The record is from RefSeq and is a predicted model, not a curated record.